This 2902-nucleotide ribosomal RNA is filed under the name Enterobacter roggenkampii UCI 39. RNAcentral's name for it is "bacterial LSU rRNA". It matches the Rfam family "Bacterial large subunit ribosomal RNA". The record is from RNAcentral. Lineage: Bacteria; Pseudomonadati; Pseudomonadota; Gammaproteobacteria; Enterobacterales; Enterobacteriaceae.
UUAAGCGACUAAGCGUACACGGUGGAUGCCCUGGCAGUCAGAGGCGAUGAAGGACGUGCUAAUCUGCGAAAAGCGCCGGCGAGGUGAUAUGAACCUUUGACCCGGCGAUGUCCGAAUGGGGAAACCCAGUGUGUUCCGACACACUAUCGUUAACUGAAUACAUAGGUUAACGAGGCGAACCGGGGGAACUGAAACAUCUAAGUACCCCGAGGAAAAGAAAUCAACCGAGAUUCCCCCAGUAGCGGCGAGCGAACGGGGAGCAGCCCAGAGUCUGAAUCAGCUUGUGUGUUAGUGGAAGCGUCUGGAAAGUCGCACGGUACAGGGUGACAGUCCCGUACACGAAAAUGCACAGGUUGUGAACUCGAAGAGUAGGGCGGGACACGUGGUAUCCUGUCUGAAUAUGGGGGGACCAUCCUCCAAGGCUAAAUACUCCUGACUGACCGAUAGUGAACCAGUACCGUGAGGGAAAGGCGAAAAGAACCCCGGCGAGGGGAGUGAAAAAGAACCUGAAACCGUGUACGUACAAGCAGUGGGAGCACCUUCGUGGUGUGACUGCGUACCUUUUGUAUAAUGGGUCAGCGACUUAUAUUCUGUAGCAAGGUUAACCGUAUAGGGGAGCCGAAGGGAAACCGAGUCUUAACUGGGCGUUAAGUUGCAGGGUAUAGACCCGAAACCCGGUGAUCUAGCCAUGGGCAGGUUGAAGGUUGGGUAACACUAACUGGAGGACCGAACCGACUAAUGUUGAAAAAUUAGCGGAUGACUUGUGGCUGGGGGUGAAAGGCCAAUCAAACCGGGAGAUAGCUGGUUCUCCCCGAAAGCUAUUUAGGUAGCGCCUCGUGAACUCAUCUUCGGGGGUAGAGCACUGUUUCGGCUAGGGGGCCAUCCCGGCUUACCAACCCGAUGCAAACUACGAAUACCGAAGAAUGUUAUCACGGGAGACACACGGCGGGUGCUAACGUCCGUCGUGAAGAGGGAAACAACCCAGACCGCCAGCUAAGGUCCCAAAGUCAUGGUUAAGUGGGAAACGAUGUGGGAAGGCACAGACAGCCAGGAUGUUGGCUUAGAAGCAGCCAUCAUUUAAAGAAAGCGUAAUAGCUCACUGGUCGAGUCGGCCUGCGCGGAAGAUGUAACGGGGCUAAACCAUGCACCGAAGCUGCGGCAGCGACACUAUGUGUUGUUGGGUAGGGGAGCGUUCUGUAAGCCGUUGAAGGUGUGCUGUGAGGCAUGCUGGAGGUAUCAGAAGUGCGAAUGCUGACAUAAGUAACGAUAAAGCGGGUGAAAAGCCCGCUCGCCGGAAGACCAAGGGUUCCUGUCCAACGUUAAUCGGGGCAGGGUGAGUCGACCCCUAAGGCGAGGCCGAAAGGCGUAGUCGAUGGGAAACAGGUUAAUAUUCCUGUACUUGGUGUUACUGCGAAGGGGGGACGGAGAAGGCUAUGUUAGCCGGGCGACGGUUGUCCCGGUUUAAGCAUGUAGGCGGAGGUUCCAGGUAAAUCCGGUACCUUUUAACGCUGAGGUGUGAUGACGAGGCACUACGGUGCUGAAGUAACAAAUGCCCUGCUUCCAGGAAAAGCCUCUAAGCAUCAGGUAACAUCAAAUCGUACCCCAAACCGACACAGGUGGUCAGGUAGAGAAUACCAAGGCGCUUGAGAGAACUCGGGUGAAGGAACUAGGCAAAAUGGUGCCGUAACUUCGGGAGAAGGCACGCUGAUAUGUAGGUGAAGCCCCUGCGGGUGGAGCUGAAAUCAGUCGAAGAUACCAGCUGGCUGCAACUGUUUAUUAAAAACACAGCACUGUGCAAACACGAAAGUGGACGUAUACGGUGUGACGCCUGCCCGGUGCCGGAAGGUUAAUUGAUGGGGUUAGCGGUAACGCGAAGCUCUUGAUCGAAGCCCCGGUAAACGGCGGCCGUAACUAUAACGGUCCUAAGGUAGCGAAAUUCCUUGUCGGGUAAGUUCCGACCUGCACGAAUGGCGUAAUGAUGGCCAGGCUGUCUCCACCCGAGACUCAGUGAAAUUGAACUCGCUGUGAAGAUGCAGUGUACCCGCGGCAAGACGGAAAGACCCCGUGAACCUUUACUAUAGCUUGACACUGAACACUGGUCCUUGAUGUGUAGGAUAGGUGGGAGGCUUUGAAGCGUGGACGCCAGUCUGCGUGGAGCCGUCCUUGAAAUACCACCCUUUAAUGGCUGGUGUUCUAACGUAGACCCGUGAUCCGGGUUGCGGACAGUGUCUGGUGGGUAGUUUGACUGGGGCGGUCUCCUCCCAAAGAGUAACGGAGGAGCACGAAGGUUAGCUAAUCCUGGUCGGACAUCAGGAGGUUAGUGCAAUGGCAUAAGCUAGCUUGACUGCGAGAGUGACGGCUCGAGCAGGUGCGAAAGCAGGUCAUAGUGAUCCGGUGGUUCUGAAUGGAAGGGCCAUCGCUCAACGGAUAAAAGGUACUCCGGGGAUAACAGGCUGAUACCGCCCAAGAGUUCAUAUCGACGGCGGUGUUUGGCACCUCGAUGUCGGCUCAUCACAUCCUGGGGCUGAAGUAGGUCCCAAGGGUAUGGCUGUUCGCCAUUUAAAGUGGUACGCGAGCUGGGUUUAGAACGUCGUGAGACAGUUCGGUCCCUAUCUGCCGUGGGCGCUGGAGAAUUGAGGGGGGCUGCUCCUAGUACGAGAGGACCGGAGUGGACGCAUCACUGGUGUUCGGGUUGUCAUGCCAAUGGCACUGCCCGGUAGCUAAAUGCGGAAAAGAUAAGUGCUGAAAGCAUCUAAGCACGAAACUUGCCCCGAGAUGAGUUCUCCCUGAGACUUUAAGUCUCCUGAAGGAACGUUGAAGACGACGACGUUGAUAGGUCGGGUGUGUAAGCGCAGCGAUGCGUUGAGCUAACCGAUACUAAUGAACCGUGAGGCUUAACCUU